ACGGCUCAGUAACACGUGAGUCAACAUAACCAAAGGACGUGGAUAAACUCGGGAAACUGAGGCUAAACCGCGAUAGAUCAAGAUAUCUGGAAUGGUUUUUGAUCAAAAUCUAUAUGGCCUUUGGAUUGGACUGCGUCCGAUCAGGCUGUUGGUGAGGUAAUGGCCCACCAAACCUAUAACCGGUACGGGCUCUGAGAGGAGGAGCCCGGAGAUGGGUACUGAGAUAAGGACCCAGGCCCUAUGGGGCGCAGCAGGCGCGAAACCUCUGCAAUAGGCGAAAGCUUGACAGGGUUACUCUGAGUGACUUUCGUUAAGUAAGUCUUUUGGCACCUCUAAAAAUGGUGUAGAAUAAGGGGUGGGCAAGUCUGGUGUCAGCCGCCGCGGUAAUACCAGCACCCCGAGUGGUCGGGACGAUUAUUGGGCCUAAAGCAUCCGUAGCCGGCCUCACAAGUCCUCCGUUAAAUCCAGCUGCUAAACAGAUGGGCUGCGGACGAUACUAUAACACUAGGACGCAGGAGAGGCAACCGGUACUCCAUGGGUACGGGUUAACAUCCGUUU
This 558-nucleotide ribosomal RNA is filed under the name uncultured archaeon. RNAcentral describes it as "bacterial SSU rRNA". It matches the Rfam family "Archaeal small subunit ribosomal RNA", at positions 85 to 643 of the family's 1478-position model. The record is from RNAcentral.